GACAAUAUAAAAUGAGGAUACUUAAACAGUAUCCUGAAUUCAUUCAGGACCAAGACCAACACGCAUCUCUGAUUCAUUUGAAAUAAGUAAUGUCAACUGAAAAUUCUAUACAGGGGCAUCACGAAUAUUAAACAAUUAACUAGCAGAUAUAACUGUCACUGUAGAACUAUGCUAAAUGUUUCCAAGAAUGUAAAAUUUGCACAUAGAAGUACCAAAAGACAUAGAUUGACCAUCAACAAUUAUUGCCUCUAGUUAUGUUUCCUCACCAUGAGAUUUCUCUUUUCCUCA
RNAcentral lists this unclassified non-coding RNA (288 nucleotides) under Hevea brasiliensis (rubber tree). Lineage: Eukaryota; Viridiplantae; Streptophyta; Magnoliopsida; Malpighiales; Euphorbiaceae. The record is from RNAcentral.